RNAcentral lists this transfer RNA (76 nucleotides) under Actinomyces sp. RNAcentral describes it as "tRNA-Glu". It matches the Rfam family "tRNA". Rfam says of the family: Transfer RNA (tRNA) molecules are approximately 80 nucleotides in length. RNAcentral also lists the same sequence under 6 other names. Lineage: Bacteria; Bacillati; Actinomycetota; Actinomycetes; Actinomycetales; Actinomycetaceae. The record is from RNAcentral.
GCCCCGUUCGUCUAGCGGCCCAGGACACCGCCCUCUCACGGCGGCAGCACCGGUUCAAAUCCGGUACGGGGUACGA